CAGCAGAAGAAGAAGAAGCAGCAGCACUAGCGCCAAGAUGACGGACCAAGAAACUACGGUUUUAUAAACCCGGGUGACGGCAGAACUGCGAUGCCUGUUGAGCUGCGCAUGUUGAACUGUGCAGCCUAGUCGGUCUGUCCGACCAAAAUGGAUGAGUCCAACAGUUGUGAGCUGCUGUACUGAAUGUGCGCACCGCCCUCCUGCCCAAACAUUUGUGUAUUUUAAUUUUUUUGUUUCAAAAUGAUAUAUAAUCACAUUGUUAUAAAUACACCACAGCAGUCUUGUCCAGCAGCCUCCCAAAUGUCGUGAAAAAAACAAUAUUUGGGAGAAACUGGAAAUCCUAUUCAGUCACGAAGUUGUUUUUUAAAUAUUAAAAACAACUUAUAUUGAUGACAAGGUCAAAAUUACCAGUUGUGUGAUGCACACCACGGUAUUAUUCACUGAAGCCAUGGUCAAUAAGCUGCAUAGAAAGUUGUUUAUUCUGUUUUGAUAUUGUCAUUUUAAAAUGAAAUGCUUAUUUGUGUUUUUCCAUAAAAAUUGUGUGUAUUUACGUUGUUUCUAAGCUUAUGUAAAUAGACAUUGUCAAGUGUUCCCUCAAAAAAAUAAAAUUGGAUUUAGGACAACAAAAA
Molecule: long non-coding RNA, 629 nt
Organism: Girardinichthys multiradiatus
Lineage: Eukaryota; Metazoa; Chordata; Actinopteri; Cyprinodontiformes; Goodeidae
Exons: 2
Source: RefSeq, a predicted model, not a curated record